GAUGAACGCUGGCGGCGUGCCUAAUACAUGCAAGUCGAGCGAACAGACGAGGAGCUUGCUCCUCUGACGUUAGCGGCGGACGGGCGAGUAACACGUGGAUAACCUACUUAUAAUACUGGGAUAACUUCGGGAAACCGGAGCUACUACCGGAUAAUAUAUUCAACCGCAUGGUUCAAUAGUGAAAGACGGUUUUGCCGUCACUUAUAGAUGGUUCCGCGCCGCAUUAGCUAGUUGGUAAGGUAACGGCUUACCAAGGCAACGAUGCGUAGCCGACCUGAGAGGGUGAUCGGCCACACUGGAACUGAGACACGGUCCAGACUCCUACGGGAGGCAGCAGUAGGGAAUCUUCCGCAAUGGGCGCAAGCCUGACGGAGCAACGCCGCGUGAGUGAUGAAGGUCUUCGGAUCGUAAAACUCUGUUAUUAGGGAAGAACAAAUGUGUAAGUAACUAUGCACGUCUUGACGGUACCUAAUCAGAAAGCCACGGCUAACUACGUG
This 497-nucleotide ribosomal RNA is filed under the name uncultured bacterium. Its description in RNAcentral is "partial 16S ribosomal RNA". It matches the Rfam family "Bacterial small subunit ribosomal RNA", at positions 28 to 507 of the family's 1533-position model. The record is from RNAcentral.